GGGUAUCAUGCCCUCACGGGUAGAUCUCCACCCUUGAAUAACAUACCUUUGUUGCUUUGGCAGGACGCACUCGCGCCAGGGGCUUCGGCUCUUGAGUGCCUGCCAGAGGACCACAACUCUUGUUUUUAGUGAUGUCUGAGUACUAUAUAAUAGUUAAAACUUUCAACAGCGGAUCUCUUGGUUCU
RNAcentral lists this unclassified non-coding RNA (185 nucleotides) under rhizosphere metagenome. Its description in RNAcentral is "partial ribosomal RNA internal transcribed spacer region". The record is from RNAcentral.